GACGAACGCUGGCGGCGUGCUUAACACAUGCAAGUCGAACGGAAAGGCCCUGCUUUUGUGGGGUGCUCGAGUGGCGAACUGGUGAGUAACACGUGAGUAACCUGCCCUUGACUUUGGGAUAACUUCAUGAAACUUGGGCUAAUACCGGAUAGGAGCUCCUGCUUCAUGGUGGGGGUUGGAAAGUUUCGGCGGUUGGGGAUGGACUCGCGGCUUAUCAGCUUGUUUGUGGGGUAGUGGCUUACCAAGGCUUUGACGGGUAGCCGGCCUGGGAGGGUGACCGGACACAUUGGGACUGGGAUAAGGCCCAGACCCCUACGGGAGGCAGCAGUGGGGAAUAGUGCACAAUGGGCGGAAGCCUGACGCAGUAACGCCGCGUGCGGGAUGACGGCCUUCGGGUUGUAAACCGCUGUUCCCUGUGACGAAGCGUGAGUGACGGUAAUGGGUAAAGAAGCACCGGCUAACUACGUG
This 468-nucleotide ribosomal RNA is filed under the name uncultured bacterium. RNAcentral describes it as "partial 16S ribosomal RNA". It matches the Rfam family "Bacterial small subunit ribosomal RNA", at positions 28 to 507 of the family's 1533-position model. The record is from RNAcentral.